This 483-nucleotide ribosomal RNA is filed under the name uncultured bacterium. RNAcentral describes it as "partial 16S ribosomal RNA". It matches the Rfam family "Bacterial small subunit ribosomal RNA", at positions 30 to 507 of the family's 1533-position model. The record is from RNAcentral.
UUGAACGCUGGCGGCAUGCCUUACACCUGCAAGUCGAACGGCAGCGCGGACUUCGGUCUGGCGGCGAGUGGCGAACGGGUGAGUAAUACAUCGGAACGUACCCUGUUGUGGGGGAUAACUAGUCGAAAGAUUAGCUAAUACCGCAUACGACCUGAGGGUGAAAGUGGGGGACCGCAAGGCCUCACGCAGCAGGAGCGGCCGAUGUCUGAUUAGCUAGUUGGUGGGGUAAAGGCCCACCAAGGCGACGAUCAGUAGCUAGUCUGAGAGGACGAUCAGCCACACUGGGACUGAGACACGGCCCAGACUCCUACGGGAGGCAGCAGUGGGGAAUUUUGGACAAUGGGGGCAACCCUGAUCCAGCAAUGCCGCGUGUGUGAAGAAGGCCUUCGGGUUGUAAAGCACUUUUGUCCGGAAAGAAAUCGCGCUGGUUAAUACCUGGCGUGGAUGACGGUACCGGAAGAAUAAGCACCGGCUAACUACGUG